RNAcentral lists this microRNA precursor (144 nucleotides) under Gossypium arboreum. RNAcentral's name for it is "MIR7502 microRNA precursor family". It matches the Rfam family "MIR7502 microRNA precursor family". Lineage: Eukaryota; Viridiplantae; Streptophyta; Magnoliopsida; Malvales; Malvaceae. The record is from Rfam by way of RNAcentral.
UAUUAAAAAUAUCAUCUAAUUUUAUUGUUAAAAUUAGUGUGGUUAAUAAAAUAAUUAGACAGUAACAUAUAACGUAUCACAUGUACUUUAUACUUAUGUAUAAAAUCCAAAUUUUAAUAAUAAAAAUGGAUGAAAUGUUCAAUA